GGAUGUCCAGAAUUGGCUCACGAAGACAGGAUUAACAAAUGACUCGUUGCUACGCAAACAGACUGGGGAUGAUCUAUUGUUUCUGCGUGAAGUAUCUCACAGGGCACCCGAGUUUUACUUCAACUAUCUGCUGACUAAUCUUCAGCUGCCCUUUGGUGACCUCAAGAAGUUCAGCAGAGCUGUUGACAAACUGUGAAUCAUUAUCCCAACUGUGUGAAGUUUUGGAUCUAAUGUGUAUUACAUUACAAACUCUCAGAUGUAUCACUGGACGAAUACGUGGCAUAGGUUGACUUGCAGAUAGUUAUACAUGCCUGUGUAAUUGACAUUGUGUCUGCUGCAUAUAGCAUCGUUCGAAGUCAGUCUAAUCAUGUGUAAUAUAGUACAGACAUAUGUACCCUACUACGCCCACCCCCAUAACUACUAACCCCGCCCAAUCCCCACCCCACCAUGCAAGUUGACAGUUUGACAGCCAACUUAUCCAUUUCAUAACAGCCUUUCCUAUGCAUAUUUGUGAUGAUAUCUCUAGAGAUCUGUCUUAUGCUUAUUGACAUGGCU
Molecule: long non-coding RNA, 555 nt
Organism: Haliotis rubra (blacklip abalone)
Lineage: Eukaryota; Metazoa; Mollusca; Gastropoda; Lepetellida; Haliotidae
Exons: 3
Source: RefSeq, a predicted model, not a curated record